This is a non-coding RNA of Macaca mulatta (Rhesus monkey), 629 nucleotides long. The record is from RefSeq and is a predicted model, not a curated record. NCBI's taxonomy places the organism in Eukaryota, Metazoa, Chordata, Mammalia, Primates, Cercopithecidae.
AACAAAUACUUUUCACUCUAGGUACCACAUAUACAAAAAUCAGCAAGACAGACAAAACAUCCAUCCUCAAGGAACUCAGUAGCAGAGGAAAUGGAUUGUAAACCACCUCAAUUCAAUGUGUCUGGCCUGUGAAAUCCAUUUAAAAGACAACUUACCUAACUGUUGAGCCCAUUUUAUGGCAGUACCAGUGUCUCCUGCAUUGCUUUCAGCUAAGCAUACGACUUCUUGUCCAAUCUUCCACCCAAUUAAUGGAUAAAAGCCUUGCAAAGCAAACAAUGAAUGUAAGUCAAAGAUAUGCAUAAUUCAUUAUAGAGACUUCUACAAUGUAAUGAUUUGGUUAUCUCAAAAAACUGCAAAGUGCCUCUGAAGUUAGACUGUGUACGUUCAAACUCCAGCCCUCUUACAUUUACUAGCUGUAGUCUUGCAAGUUUCUAAUCUUUUAGCUGCAGUUUCCUUAACUAUAGAAUGGCCUACCUCAGAGAGCUAUGAAAUGAAUAAACUGAAUUAACACAUAAAAAGAACUUAGCACAGUGCCUGGCAUAUAAUAUGAACAAUAAAUACUAGUAUGUAUUAGCUAUAGGCAUGUUUAUGUCUCUAGAAACAUGGCAAUAAAUAUUUUAAUUGAGAAA